GCUGCUUUGGCGUAAUUGGCAGGCGCACAAGAUUUAAGCUCUUGUGGUUUUAAAACCGUGUGGGUUCAAGUCCCACAAGCAGUA
Molecule: transfer RNA, 84 nt
Filed under: Ruminococcus sp. AM36-2AA
Lineage: Bacteria; Bacillati; Bacillota; Clostridia; Eubacteriales; Oscillospiraceae
Also listed under: 2 other names
Description: tRNA-Leu
Rfam family: tRNA
About the family: Transfer RNA (tRNA) molecules are approximately 80 nucleotides in length. Their secondary structure includes four short double-helical elements and three loops (D, anti-codon, and T loops).
Source: RNAcentral